Long non-coding RNA from Scylla paramamosain (green mud crab), 2504 nucleotides. RefSeq lists it as uncharacterized. Lineage: Eukaryota; Metazoa; Arthropoda; Malacostraca; Decapoda; Portunidae. The record is from RefSeq and is a predicted model, not a curated record. The transcript is spliced from 5 exons.
UCUAAAAGAAAAUGGGAAACGGCUAGAGAAGGAAUCGUGGCUUGGGCAGUGUAGACGGGUGACACUCCUUGCCCCGUCUCCGUGAAGACGGUGUUAUACGUGCAGCGUGCUGAAUCCCCUGCGUGAUUGUACAGCGGGUUGGUGUGUCUUGAAAGUAUUUCGUGGCAGAAUGAUUCAUAUAGGAGCAGCGCCCCCGCCUCCCACCACCAUCAUAGUGAAUGCGGCAGCACCCAAACGCAAGAGACCACUCGGAAACUGCCCAAAUUGUAAGAAAGCUAACUUGGAGAAAAAGUGUCCUCCCAUCCUGUGCACCCUUGUGUUGUGUAUGACCUGCGUCGGCAUCCUGUGUAUCCCGCUCUUCGCAAGAAUGGUGUGCCCGAAAUGCAAUUAUUCGAAAUGAGAAUGCUUCUAAUUAGUGUCGCUGAAAAGUACAAUUGUAUAUAUUUUUUAUUGAUAAUUAAAAGGGUAAUGAUACUUUAAGGAUAAACGGAUAGUCAUAAUUUAAGGAUGUAAGGGUGUCGGAAGGCACGAACCCAUAGUAACAGAAUACGGAAUGUUGCUUAUGGCGUAAUGGAGUGGUGCCCCAAAUGUUACUACUGAGUGGAAUGUUUGUUUACUACUGAGUGGAGUGGAGUGUUUUUGAUCCAUAUAUAUAGCCCUUACAAUCUAAAACUUCAUUAUUUUUACGUUAGUUUUUAUAAUUGGUUGCUGUUUUUAUAAUGUUUAUUUCUAAGUGGAAUGUUGGAAAGCUUUUACUUUGGUAUUUAUUAUUCGUUCUCUAUUUUGCCGAGAGCAAAAAAUAUUAUUCUGUAACUGAAGGUUUCAUUGCUUUGCCAUGAGAGCAUGAAAAUUAUAUUCUUUAACUAAAGGUUUCAGUAACUGAAAUCAACCGGGUUUUAUUCCAAAUUUCUUUUGAUAAAGGUAUUUCGUAUUAUGGGGUGUUUGUGACGGCGUACCCACCCCUUGUUUGGGAGGACUGCAGGUGAGCGAGCGAGUGAACUAGUUACCGCGAUGAGGUUUUUAAAGUUUUUUAUAUUUAUGUGUGUGUACUGCAACCAUCGUAUGCCAGUAACUACCAAACCUCACAGUCACAGUAGUUGCCAGUGGUCACGACCCAGCCUACCUAGUUCUUUAAAUGAGUGGUCUCUUUUAGUGAUGCUGUUAAUAUUAUGUAGGUGAUCGUGCUGGAAAUGUUGAUGCUAAUAGUGACUGUGAUGGUGAUAAAGCUAGUGGUGGUGAUAUAGGUGAUGAUGAUGAUAGUGAUGGUGGUGGUAGUAAGACAAGUGGUGAUGCUGUUGGUAUAUUGGUGAUUGUGAUAAUGGUGAUGGUAAUGAGGCAAGGAUAGGUGAUGAUGAAGCAAACACAGGUGACGGUCAUGCAAAAAAGAGGCGAAGCGAAGACACACAAUGGUGAUGAAGCAAAAACAAAUGGGACAGAUAAUGGUGAUGAAACAAGGAAAGAUGAUGGUGAGGCAAGAACAUGUGAUGGUAGCGAAGGAUGAUGAUUGCAAUACUGAAUGAGGUGGUGAGGUAUGAACGGAAAAUUAAAACGAGCAAGGAAAGAUGGUGAUAAGGAAGCAAGAUCAACUGGUAAGGGAGACGUGUGACAGUGAAGAAGCAUGGUGGUAAAACAAAGAUAAGGUGGUGAUGGUGAGACAAGGAAGACGAUGAUGGCAAAGUGAUGAUGGUGAAGCAAGGACAAUGGUGAAGCAAGGAUAUAUCAUGGUGAUGAGAGAGGAAGUCUGUAGUGGUGUUUACUGUUUGGCUUGGCACAUGACCGUGGUGGUGACGGUCUUACCACGUAAUAGCCAGCAGGCAUACCAACACCCUGACCUGCAGUGCCCGUGGUUAAUCACGAUUGCUUGCACACACUGUAAGGUAUUGUGUAGUGAUGGUAUUUGAGACUCCUAACUCAUUGUCUUAUGCCUCGCUGCACCAUCGCCAUCACCAUAAGACGCACUACGUAAGCUGCCGAUUAAGCUACUCAAGAAAAAUGGAAACACUUUGAGUGGACAAUUAUGAUUACGUAAAAUUAACGUGGUCUUAAUGAAAUGAUAGGUAACGGAGGUGUUUCCUGGUAACGCGGGUCACACGAAGCAUCAGCGCCUGAAUACCAGUCCAUUAGUUCAACACUUCGCAUCCUGCUCCACCAGUUCAUCAGAAUCAAUAAUGCGAUGGAUGCCUCACAUUACUACCAGAGCUGGGAGAUGGAUGUGCUUGCUUACACCUCCACACUCAGUGCCAUCUGAGAAAGCUCAGACCUCACUGAGGAAGCAUCAGUGUUUGAGGUUUUUCCUAAUUGCUGGGUUGGGUGUGGCACGUCCAGGAGGUGUCAGGUGGCCCUUCAUCACGUCAUCCUGCUGUUGAAGUUCAACUGGAUCACGAGCUGGAGGAAAUAUUUGUGCCUACAUCUUAUCCUGGUGGGUUUUUCCUUUUUUUCUCUCUUCUAAGGGAAUGAUGUGAGACUCAAUUAAAUUUAUUUAUCUCUUACUACUUCAACUGCUU